The submitters of this non-coding RNA (110 nucleotides) gave its source as unclassified sequences. The record is from Rfam.
UUAUAUUACAGAUAGGAGAUUAGACUGUAUAUCUGUGUAACUGAAUGAAAGUUUAAGUGUUAUGUAAGAAUACCAGCUACAGAGCCACUAUUAUAGUGGUAUUUUUUUAA